RNAcentral lists this ribosomal RNA (440 nucleotides) under uncultured bacterium. Its description in RNAcentral is "bacterial SSU rRNA". It matches the Rfam family "Bacterial small subunit ribosomal RNA", at positions 30 to 507 of the family's 1533-position model. The record is from RNAcentral.
AUUGAACGCUGGCGGUAUGCUUAAGACAUGCAAGUCGUGCGGUAGGGGCUUCGGCCCUGAGAGCGGCGGACGGGUGAGUAACGCGUGGGAAUCUGCCUGCUAGUGGGGGAUAGCCCGGAGAAAUCCGGAUUAAUACCGCAUACGCCCUAAGGGGAAAGCCGCAAGGCGCUAGUAGAUGAGCUCGCGUAAGAUUAGCUAGUUGGUGAGGUAAAGGCUCACCAAGGCGACGAUCUUUAGCUGGUCUGAGAGGAUGGCCAGCCACAUCGGGACUGAGACACGGCCCGGACUCCUACGGGAGGCAGCAGUCGGGAAUAUUGGACAAUGGGCGCAAGCCUGAUCCAGCAAUACCGCGUGUGUGAAGAAGGCCUGCGGGUUGUAAAGCACUUUCAGUUGGGAAGAUAAUGACGUUACCAACAGAAGAAGCACCGGCUAACUCCGUG